GGGUUGUGAGGUUAAGCGACUAAGCGUACACGGUGGAUGCCCUGGCAGUCAGAGGCGAUGAAGGACGUGCUAAUCUGCGAUAAGCGUCGGUAAGGUGAUAUGAACCGUUAUAACCGGCGAUUUCCGAAUGGGGAAACCCAGUGUGUUUCGACACACUAUCAUUAACUGAAUCCAUAGGUUAAUGAGGCGAACCGGGGGAACUGAAACAUCUAAGUACCCCGAGGAAAAGAAAUCAACCGAGAUUCCCCCAGUAGCGGCGAGCGAACGGGGAGGAGCCCAGAGCCUGAAUCAGUGUGUGUGUUAGUGGAAGCGUCUGGAAAGGCGCGCGAUACAGGGUGACAGCCCCGUACACAAAAAUGCACAUGCUGUGAGCUCGAUGAGUAGGGCGGGACACGUGGUAUCCUGUCUGAAUAUGGGGGGACCAUCCUCCAAGGCUAAAUACUCCUGACUGACCGAUAGUGAACCAGUACCGUGAGGGAAAGGCGAAAAGAACCCCGGCGAGGGGAGUGAAAAAGAACCUGAAACCGUGUACGUACAAGCAGUGGGAGCCUCUUUUAUGGGGUGACUGCGUACCUUUUGUAUAAUGGGUCAGCGACUUAUAUUCUGUAGCAAGGUUAACCGAAUAGGGGAGCCGAAGGGAAACCGAGUCUUAACUGGGCGUUAAGUUGCAGGGUAUAGACCCGAAACCCGGUGAUCUAGCCAUGGGCAGGUUGAAGGUUGGGUAACACUAACUGGAGGACCGAACCGACUAAUGUUGAAAAAUUAGCGGAUGACUUGUGGCUGGGGGUGAAAGGCCAAUCAAACCGGGAGAUAGCUGGUUCUCCCCGAAAGCUAUUUAGGUAGCGCCUCGUGAAUUCAUCUCCGGGGGUAGAGCACUGUUUCGGCAAGGGGGUCAUCCCGACUUACCAACCCGAUGCAAACUGCGAAUACCGGAGAAUGUUAUCACGGGAGACACACGGCGGGUGCUAACGUCCGUCGUGAAGAGGGAAACAACCCAGACCGCCAGCUAAGGUCCCAAAGUCAUGGUUAAGUGGGAAACGAUGUGGGAAGGCCCAGACAGCCAGGAUGUUGGCUUAGAAGCAGCCAUCAUUUAAAGAAAGCGUAAUAGCUCACUGGUCGAGUCGGCCUGCGCGGAAGAUGUAACGGGGCUAAACCAUGCACCGAAGCUGCGGCAGCGACGCUUAUGCGUUGUUGGGUAGGGGAGCGUUCUGUAAGCCUGCGAAGGUGUACUGUGAGGUAUGCUGGAGGUAUCAGAAGUGCGAAUGCUGACAUAAGUAACGAUAAAGCGGGUGAAAAGCCCGCUCGCCGGAAGACCAAGGGUUCCUGUCCAACGUUAAUCGGGGCAGGGUGAGUCGACCCCUAAGGCGAGGCCGAAAGGCGUAGUCGAUGGGAAACAGGUUAAUAUUCCUGUACUUGGUGUUACUGCGAAGGGGGGACGGAGAAGGCUAUGUUGGCCGGGCGACGGUUGUCCCGGUUUAAGCGUGUAGGCUGGUUUUCCAGGCAAAUCCGGAAAAUCAAGGCUGAGGCGUGAUGACGAGGCACUACGGUGCUGAAGCAACAAAUGCCCUGCUUCCAGGAAAAGCCUCUAAGCAUCAGGUAACAUCAAAUCGUACCCCAAACCGACACAGGUGGUCAGGUAGAGAAUACCAAGGCGCUUGAGAGAACUCGGGUGAAGGAACUAGGCAAAAUGGUGCCGUAACUUCGGGAGAAGGCACGCUGAUAUGUAGGUGAAGUCCCUCGCGGAUGGAGCUGAAAUCAGUCGAAGAUACCAGCUGGCUGCAACUGUUUAUUAAAAACACAGCACUGUGCAAACACGAAAGUGGACGUAUACGGUGUGACGCCUGCCCGGUGCCGGAAGGUUAAUUGAUGGGGUUAGCGCAAGCGAAGCUCUUGAUCGAAGCCCCGGUAAACGGCGGCCGUAACUAUAACGGUCCUAAGGUAGCGAAAUUCCUUGUCGGGUAAGUUCCGACCUGCACGAAUGGCGUAAUGAUGGCCAGGCUGUCUCCACCCGAGACUCAGUGAAAUUGAACUCGCUGUGAAGAUGCAGUGUACCCGCGGCAAGACGGAAAGACCCCGUGAACCUUUACUAUAGCUUGACACUGAACAUUGAGCCUUGAUGUGUAGGAUAGGUGGGAGGCUUUGAAGUGUGGACGCCAGUCUGCAUGGAGCCGACCUUGAAAUACCACCCUUUAAUGUUUGAUGUUCUAACGUUGACCCGUAAUCCGGGUUGCGGACAGUGUCUGGUGGGUAGUUUGACUGGGGCGGUCUCCUCCUAAAGAGUAACGGAGGAGCACGAAGGUUGGCUAAUCCUGGUCGGACAUCAGGAGGUUAGUGCAAUGGCAUAAGCCAGCUUGACUGCGAGCGUGACGGCGCGAGCAGGUGCGAAAGCAGGUCAUAGUGAUCCGGUGGUUCUGAAUGGAAGGGCCAUCGCUCAACGGAUAAAAGGUACUCCGGGGAUAACAGGCUGAUACCGCCCAAGAGUUCAUAUCGACGGCGGUGUUUGGCACCUCGAUGUCGGCUCAUCACAUCCUGGGGCUGAAGUAGGUCCCAAGGGUAUGGCUGUUCGCCAUUUAAAGUGGUACGCGAGCUGGGUUUAGAACGUCGUGAGACAGUUCGGUCCCUAUCUGCCGUGGGCGCUGGAGAACUGAGGGGGGCUGCUCCUAGUACGAGAGGACCGGAGUGGACGCAUCACUGGUGUUCGGGUUGUCAUGCCAAUGGCACUGCCCGGUAGCUAAAUGCGGAAGAGAUAAGUGCUGAAAGCAUCUAAGCACGAAACUUGCCCCGAGAUGAGUUCUCCCUGACUCCUUGAGAGUCCUGAAGGAACGUUGAAGACGACGACGUUGAUAGGCCGGGUGUGUAAGCGCAGCGAUGCGUUGAGCUAACCGGUACUAAUGAACCGUGAGGCUUAACCUUACAACGCCGAAGGUGUUU
Molecule: ribosomal RNA, 2931 nt
Filed under: Escherichia coli
Lineage: Bacteria; Pseudomonadati; Pseudomonadota; Gammaproteobacteria; Enterobacterales; Enterobacteriaceae
Description: 23S ribosomal RNA
Rfam family: Bacterial large subunit ribosomal RNA
Source: RNAcentral